This 85-nucleotide ribosomal RNA is filed under the name salal root associated fungus UBCtra1314C. RNAcentral's name for it is "partial 5.8S ribosomal RNA". It matches the Rfam family "5.8S ribosomal RNA", at positions 72 to 154 of the family's 154-position model. Rfam says of the family: 5.8S ribosomal RNA (5.8S rRNA) is a component of the large subunit of the eukaryotic ribosome. It is transcribed by RNA polymerase I as part of the 45S precursor that also contains 18S and 28S rRNA. The record is from RNAcentral. Lineage: Eukaryota; Fungi; Ascomycota.
UUGCAGAAUUCAGUGAAUCAUCGAAUCUUUGAACGCACAUUGCGCCCCGUGGUAUUCCGCGGGGCAUGCCUGUUCGAGCGUCAUU